GGGCCCGCACAAGCGGUGGAGUAUGUGGUUUAAUUCGAUGCAACGCGAAGAACCUUACCAGGGUUUGACAUCCUGCGAAUCUCUUGGAAACGAGAGAGUGCCUUCGGGAACGCAGUGACAGGUGGUGCAUGGCUGUCGUCAGCUCGUGUCGUGAGAUGUUGGGUUAAGUCCCGCAACGAGCGCAACCCACGUCGUUAGUUGCCAGCAUUUAGUUGGGCACUCUAGCGAGACCGCCGGUGAUAAACCGGAGGAAGGUGUGGAUGACGUCAAGUCAUCAUGCCCCUUACAUCCUGGGCUACACACGUACUACAAUGCUACGGACAAAGGGCAGCAAACUCGCGAGAGCUAGCAAAUCCCAUAAACCGUGGCUCAGUUCAGAUCGUAGGCUGCAACUCGCCUACGUGAAGGAGGAAUCGCUAGUAAUCGC
RNAcentral lists this ribosomal RNA (427 nucleotides) under uncultured bacterium. RNAcentral describes it as "bacterial SSU rRNA". It matches the Rfam family "Bacterial small subunit ribosomal RNA", at positions 917 to 1345 of the family's 1533-position model. The record is from RNAcentral.